GGCGGCAUAGCCAAGUGGUUUAAGGCACAGGACUGCAAAUCCUCGAUCCCCGGUUCGAAUCCGGGUGCCGCCU
RNAcentral lists this transfer RNA (73 nucleotides) under Candidatus Zixiibacteriota bacterium. Its description in RNAcentral is "tRNA-Cys". It matches the Rfam family "tRNA". From Rfam's summary of the family: Transfer RNA (tRNA) molecules are approximately 80 nucleotides in length. Lineage: Bacteria; Pseudomonadati; Candidatus Zixiibacteriota. The record is from RNAcentral.